RNAcentral lists this ribosomal RNA (59 nucleotides) under Steinernema kraussei. RNAcentral describes it as "partial 28S ribosomal RNA". It matches the Rfam family "Eukaryotic large subunit ribosomal RNA", at positions 12 to 70 of the family's 3401-position model. Lineage: Eukaryota; Metazoa; Nematoda; Chromadorea; Rhabditida; Steinernematidae. The record is from RNAcentral.
CAAGCAAGACUACCCGCUGAACUUAAGCAUAUUAGUAAGCGGAGGAAAAGAAACUAACU